RNAcentral lists this ribosomal RNA (301 nucleotides) under uncultured bacterium. Its description in RNAcentral is "partial 16S ribosomal RNA". It matches the Rfam family "Bacterial small subunit ribosomal RNA", at positions 509 to 809 of the family's 1533-position model. The record is from RNAcentral.
CAGCAGCCGCGGGAAUACGGAGGGAGCUAGCGUUGUUCGGAAUUACUGGGCGUAAAGCGCACGUAGGCGGCUAUUCAAGUCAGGGGUGAAAGCCCGGGGCUCAACCCCGGAACUGCCUUUGAAACUAGAUAGCUUGAAUCUCGGAGAGGCGAGUGGAAUUCCGAGUGUAGAGGUGAAAUUCGUAGAUAUUCGGAAGAACACCAGUGGCGAAGGCGACUCGCUGGACAAGUAUUGACGCUGAGGUGCGAAAGCGUGGGGAGCAAACAGGAUUAGAUACCCCCGUAGUCCCUGUCUCUUAUAA